AUGAGCCAUACAAUGAAGCUAUGGGAGAGAGUCAUUGAGCACCGCCUAAGAAGAAUGACAAGCGUGACCAAAAAUCAGUUUGGUUUCAUGCCUGGGAGGUCGACCAUGGAAGCCAUUUCCUUGGUACGACAACUUAUGGAGAGAUAUAGGGAGCAUAAGAAGGACUUGCAUAUGGUGUUCAUUGACUUGGAGAAGGCCUAUGAUAAGAUACCGCGGAAUGUCAUGUGGUGGGCCUUGGAGAAACACAAAGUCCCAGCAAAGUACAUUACCAUCAUCAAGGACAUGUACAAUAAUGUUGUGACAAGUGUUCGAACAAGUGAUGUCGACACCGAUGACUUCCCGAUUAAGAUAGGACUGCAUCAGGGGUCAGCUUUGAGCCCUUAUCUUUUUGCAUUGGUGAUGGAUGAGGUCACAAGGGGUAUACAAGGAGAUAUCCCAUGGUGUAUGCUCUUUGCGGAUGAUGUGGCGCUAGUUGACGAUAGUCGGACGGGGGUAAAUAGGAAGUUAGAGUUAUGGAGACAAACCUUGGAAUCGAAAGGGUUUAGGCUUAGUAGAACUAAAACCGAGUACAUGAUGUGCGGUUUCAGUACUACUAGCUGUGAGGAGGAGGAGGUUAGCCUUGAUGGCCAGGUGGUACCUCGGAAGGACACCUUUCGGUAUUUGGGGUCAAUGUUGCAGGAGGAUGGGGGUAUUGAUGAAGAUGUGAACCAUCGAAUCAAAGCCGGAUGGAUGAAGUGGCGCCAAGCUUCUGGCAUUCUCUGUGACAAGAGAGUGCCACAAAAGCUAAAAGGCAAGUUCUACAGGACGGCGAUUCGACCCGCAAUGUUGUAUGGCGCGGAGUGUUGGCCGACUAAAAGGCGACAUGUUCAACAGUUAGGUGUGGCGGAGAUGCGUAUGUUGAGAUGGAUGUGUGGCCACACAAGGAAGGAUCGAGUCCGGAAUGAUGAUAUACGAGAUAGAGUUGGGGUAGCACCAAUUGAGGAGAAGCUUGUCCAACAUCGUUUGAGAUGGUUUGGGCAUAUUCAGCGCAGGCCUCCAGAAGCUCCAGUGUAUAGCGGACGGCUAAAGCGUGCGGAGAAUGUCAAGAGAGGGCGGGGUCGACCGAUUUUGACAUGGGAGGAGUCCGUUAAGAGAGACCUGAAGGAUUGGAGUAUCGACAAAGAGCUAGCUAUGGACAGGGGUGCGUGGAAGCUUGCUAUCCAUGUGCCAGAGCCAUGA
Molecule: ribosomal RNA, 1218 nt
Filed under: Triticum aestivum (bread wheat)
Lineage: Eukaryota; Viridiplantae; Streptophyta; Magnoliopsida; Poales; Poaceae
Description: partial small subunit ribosomal RNA
Source: RNAcentral